This is a long non-coding RNA of Gossypium arboreum, 561 nucleotides long. RefSeq lists it as uncharacterized. The transcript has 2 exons. Lineage: Eukaryota; Viridiplantae; Streptophyta; Magnoliopsida; Malvales; Malvaceae. The record is from RefSeq and is a predicted model, not a curated record.
UUUGAAUUAGCUCAAGAGCUAAGAGGGCCACAAUUGGACAAGGGGAAGGAAAAAGUGAUCGAAUAGCCGUAAAAGCCGUUCGACAACAUCCGAGAUUUCGCUCGAUAGCAAUCGGAUUCGGGAUCAAUAAAGUCGAAGUCAUCCACACUAUCAACGUCUCUAUUUUGGUAUAAAUUUUUGGUUGAACUUUGAAAUGGCAUGUAUAGGACUACCCCUUGUUGGUUAAAUAUGUUGUGAUGUAUUUGUGUACGGCCAUGCGAAAAUGGCUCGUAAAAGUGAAGUAUCGACUUAGACUAUUUGCGGUUUGUAUAUGUAUAUAUUUGGUGUCAUGAUGUGACCAUGGAUUGGAAAUGGGAAUGUUGGUCACAUGAUCAGCCAUUGGCAUGGUUAAAAUGAUCAUAUAUGAACCUAUGUAUGGCAAGACUAGUUGGUUCAUGGAGACUACCAAAUAGGUAAGACCUACCUUAAAAACAGAUGCUGCCAGCUGCAGUGACGUGAAUGUGAAAAAUCACCAAAAUUUGUAGGAAUGGUAUUAAAUAGUGAAUAAGCUAUGUAAAUGAA